CCUUCGAUAGCUCAGUUGGUAGAGCGGUGGACUGUAGCGGUUAAACUGUCAGACAUCCAUAGGUCACUGGUUCGAAUCCGGUUCGAAGGA
Molecule: transfer RNA, 90 nt
Filed under: Ciona intestinalis (vase tunicate)
Lineage: Eukaryota; Metazoa; Chordata; Ascidiacea; Phlebobranchia; Cionidae
Rfam family: tRNA
About the family: Transfer RNA (tRNA) molecules are approximately 80 nucleotides in length.
Source: Rfam by way of RNAcentral